Molecule: non-coding RNA, 54 nt
Organism: Salmo salar (Atlantic salmon)
Lineage: Eukaryota; Metazoa; Chordata; Actinopteri; Salmoniformes; Salmonidae
Source: Rfam
UUCUCUCAACACUGUAAAUCACUUUGAAUAAAAGCGUCUGCUAAAUGGAAUAUA